RNAcentral lists this ribosomal RNA (460 nucleotides) under uncultured bacterium. RNAcentral's name for it is "partial 16S ribosomal RNA". It matches the Rfam family "Bacterial small subunit ribosomal RNA", at positions 338 to 795 of the family's 1533-position model. The record is from RNAcentral.
CCUACGGGAGGCAGCAGUGAGGAAUAUUGGUCAAUGGACGAGAGUCUGAACCAGCCAAGUAGCGUGAAGGAUGACUGCCCUAUGGGUUGUAAACUUCUUUUAUAUGGGAAUAAAACGUUCCACGUGUGGGAUUUUGUAUGUACCAUAUGAAUAAGGAUCGGCUAACUCCGUGCCAGCAGCCGCGGUAAUACGGAGGAUCCGAGCGUUAUCCGGAUUUAUUGGGUUUAAAGGGAGCGUAGGUGGAUUGUUAAGUCAGUUGUGAAAGUUUGCGGCUCAACCGUAAAAUUGCAGUUGAAACUGGCAGUCUUGAGUACAGUAGAGGUGGGCGGAAUUUGUGGUGUAGCGGUGAAAUGCUUAGAUAUCACGAAGAACUCCGAUUGCGAAGGCAGUUCACUGGACUGCAACUGACACUGAGGCUCGAAAGUGUGGGUAUCAAACAGGAUUAGAUACCCUAGUAGUC